GCUGGGCGUGGUGGCGCACGCCUGUAAUCCCAGCGGCUUGGGAGGCUGAGGCAGGAGGAUCGUGAGUUCAAAGCCAGCCUCAGCAAAAGCGAGGUGCUAAGCAACUCAGUGAGACCCUGUCUCUA
RNAcentral lists this small RNA (125 nucleotides) under Marmota monax (woodchuck). The record is from RNAcentral. Lineage: Eukaryota; Metazoa; Chordata; Mammalia; Rodentia; Sciuridae.